Molecule: ribosomal RNA, 253 nt
Filed under: uncultured bacterium
Lineage: Bacteria
Description: partial 16S ribosomal RNA
Rfam family: Bacterial small subunit ribosomal RNA
Source: RNAcentral
UACAGGGGGUGCAAACGUUGUCCGGAAUUACUGGGCGUAAAGAGCUCGUAGGUGGUUUGUCGCGUUGUUCGUGAAAACUCACAGCUUAACUGUGGGCGUGCGGGCGAUACGGGCAGACUUGAGUACUGCAGGGGAGACUGGAAUUCCUGGUGUAGCGGUGGAAUGCGCAGAUAUCAGGAGGAACACCGGUGGCGAAGGCGGGUCUCUGGGCAGUAACUGACGCUGAGGAGCGAAAGCGUGGGGAGCGAACAGG